Non-coding RNA from Schistosoma mattheei, 46 nucleotides. The record is from Rfam. Lineage: Eukaryota; Metazoa; Platyhelminthes; Trematoda; Strigeidida; Schistosomatidae.
GCACUGCUGAGGAGUCCCAUACCGGGACGAAACGGCCGUCCAGUUC